This 261-nucleotide unclassified non-coding RNA is filed under the name Glomeraceae sp. RNAcentral's name for it is "partial contains 5.8S ribosomal RNA and internal transcribed spacer 2". The stretch from base 1 to 65 matches the Rfam family "5.8S ribosomal RNA", at positions 84 to 154 of the family's 154-position model. The record is from RNAcentral. Lineage: Eukaryota; Fungi; Glomeromycota; Glomeromycetes; Glomerales; Glomeraceae.
GUGAAUCAUCAAAUCUUUGAACGCAAAUUGCACUCUCUUCGGAGAGUAUGCCUGUUUGAGGGUCAGUAUUAAUAGAAAAUCGGUUUGUUUGCAAAUUGUGACGUUUCCGGAGUUUGGGCUAUAUUAACUUUUUUGGUUAAGGGGCUUAAAAUUGAUCUUAUUUGUGCACUUUUAGACGUACAUAAAUUUUUUUUUUAUUCGAUUAUUCUUAAUGCCAAUAUCUUAUUAGAUUCGAUCACAUAGUGUGAUUUAGUGUCAAUA